CGAGUGACGCAGCACUCCGAGCGCCCGUCGUUAUUAAAGGGCGACGCCGCGCAACGCACGUUACACGCAUCGCGGAGGGAGCGGAGGUGGUUGGGUUUCUGAGUUUGAGUCUGUCGCUCCUGGCUCUCCCGACACAACAGCGGCGCCCACCUGCCCGCAACGGACUCCCAGGAGCCUCGAGCUCCUCAUUUCCAAAGCUGAACUGCCCCGUGUCUGAUUCCGAUUUCUCUUGAGCGCGUUUCGGAGCCGGCCCAGAACAGAGGGAAGCCAGACACACCAUACCCGGCCCAACAGUGGCAGGGCGGCUGCGGGUGCUGGUCAAGCUGGGUCACCCGGCACUGAGUGACGAUCAGCAAAUACUCAGUGGACGAAAUAUUUGCAGUGCAGUGAGGUGAGGGGCAUAACCGCGGAGCGUAUUCGAAGAGAUGAGAGAGACUGGGGAUUAGGCCAGGCUUGAAGGGAAGAAUGGUUUGAGCACCGAGGACAAGAAUUAAUUCCCCAGGCCUGGGUUCCAGCCUUGUGCGGCUAUCACGUGCUUGAAACCUGGCUAGUCCGGAGUGAGAUGCGCUUUACGUGUAAAAUACAGGAUUCCAAAGACGUCGUAUAAAAUAAUUUGUAUAUUGUUUGCAUGUUAGGUAACAUUUUUAAUGUAUUGGAUUAAAUAAAAUGCAUUAAAAUUAUUUUUACAUUCCUUUUACU
This 699-nucleotide long non-coding RNA is filed under the name Homo sapiens (human). Its description in RNAcentral is "HSALNT0278947". Lineage: Eukaryota; Metazoa; Chordata; Mammalia; Primates; Hominidae. The record is from RNAcentral.